This 403-nucleotide ribosomal RNA is filed under the name uncultured bacterium. RNAcentral's name for it is "bacterial SSU rRNA". It matches the Rfam family "Bacterial small subunit ribosomal RNA", at positions 355 to 774 of the family's 1533-position model. The record is from RNAcentral.
UAGGGAAUAUUGCAAAAUGGGCGAAAGCCCGAUGCAGCAACGCCGCGUGGGCGAUGAAGGCCUUCGGGUCGUAAAGCCCUUUUUGAGGGGAUGAGGAAGGACAGUACCCUCAGAAUAAGCCUCGGCUAACUACGUGCCAGCAGCCGCGGUAAAACGUAGGAGGCGAGCGUUAUCCGGAUUUACUGGGCGUAAAGCGCGUGCAGGCGGAUUGGAGAGUUGGAUGUGAAAGCUCCCGGCUUAACUGGGGGAGGUCGUUCAAUACUUCCAGUCUUUAGUGCAGUAGAGGGAAGUGGAAUUCCGGGUGUAGUGGUGAAAUGCGUAGAUAUCCGGAGGAACACCAGUGGCUAAAGCGGCUUCCUGGACUGUAACUGACGCUCAGACGCGAAAGCUAGGGUAGCAAACG